UACGUAGGGUGCGAGCGUUAAUCGGAAUUACUGGGCGUAAAGCGUGCGCAGGCGGUCUGUUAAGACCGAUGUGAAAUCCCCGGGCUUAACCUGGGAACUGCAUUGGUGACUGGCAGGCUUUGAGUGUGGCAGAGGGAGGUAGAAUUCCACGUGUAGCAGUGAAAUGCGUAGAGAUGUGGAGGAAUACCGAUUGCGAAGGCAGCCUCCUGGGCCAACACUGACGCUCAUGCACGAAAGCGUGGGGAGCAAACAGG
RNAcentral lists this ribosomal RNA (254 nucleotides) under uncultured bacterium. RNAcentral's name for it is "partial 16S ribosomal RNA". It matches the Rfam family "Bacterial small subunit ribosomal RNA", at positions 524 to 776 of the family's 1533-position model. The record is from RNAcentral.